AUAUGCUUUUCCUUUCUUCUAUGGCUAAAUUACAAAAACCCCCCUUAUAAAUACUCCUCUUUUUUAUUUUAUUUUUUUACUUUCAAAAAUCUAUAUUUUUUCCUCUCAAUGUUGCAAGUUGUUGCAUUUAGUACCCCUCCAUUAGCAUUAUUUUUUAUAAUUUAUAUUAAAAUACCCUUCAAAAUAAUAAAAAUAUAUUAAAAAAAAAAUUUUCUUAUAAAAAAAGUAAGAGCGAUUUGAUUAUUCUGCCCAUUUUAUGAACGACGUACCCUUAUAAAAAUAUUUUUUAAAUUUUAAAAGACAAAAUAUGAUUUUUGAAAGUCACGGAGCAAAAGCGAGAAAACGAAUAUUUACAGCUCAAGAUUUUAUAUAAUUUAGCCUUUUUUAUUUUUUUAUUAUUAUUAAAUAGCAAUAUCCAAGGUGACUUGGGGUGUUUGUUCCUCAAAAAAAGGNUAAUUUUUUUUAAAAAAAUUAUUUUUCAAAUUUUAUAGUAAAUUAAUAUUUUUGUUUUUUAAAUUUCUUUAAGAAAAUAAAAAUGCUAGUUUUUUAUAAAAUUUGGAAAGAAGCUUUUUAAAAUUUUAUAUUUUUUUUAAACCAAACGGAUGAAAAAUUAGAGAUGAGAUUUUUCAGGAAAAUUUUUUAAGUCAGAUAGAAUUUUUAUUAUUCUGUUUAUUUCCGUACGUAAUAUUGCGUUAUAUAGAUUGCGAUGAAUCGAUUACGAUAUAUUUUCUGCGAUCUCCGAAGAAUGUAUAAGCAUAUCCUUACAUAUUUUUAUCCCAAUUCUAUUUUAUUUAAUAGCGUUGGAUAGACCUUGAUACUAAACUAAGUCUCUGUAACAUGUGGUGACCGGUGAGAUCAGAUUCAAUUCGGGAUUAUUAUAGACAAAAUAUGUAACACAUUAUGAGAAAGUAUGAUUUGA
This 919-nucleotide long non-coding RNA is filed under the name Ananas comosus (pineapple). RNAcentral's name for it is "long non-coding RNA (ACOM_LNC028745)". Lineage: Eukaryota; Viridiplantae; Streptophyta; Magnoliopsida; Poales; Bromeliaceae. The record is from RNAcentral.